Stegodyphus mimosarum is the source of this 64-nucleotide non-coding RNA. NCBI's taxonomy places the organism in Eukaryota, Metazoa, Arthropoda, Arachnida, Araneae, Eresidae. The record is from Rfam.
GCCGUGAUCGUUAGUACAUUGCGUUGUGGCCGCAAUAACCCAGGUUCGAAUCCUAGUCACGGCA